Molecule: long non-coding RNA, 717 nt
Filed under: Gallus gallus (chicken)
Lineage: Eukaryota; Metazoa; Chordata; Aves; Galliformes; Phasianidae
Source: RNAcentral
CGAGAGCCCCCCCCCUCCCUGGCCCCAAAUUGGACCCCCCAUAAGGCCCCCCCCCCCAGACAAGCCCCGACUUGCCCCCGGGGGCGGGGCGCUGACGUCACCGUUUGGGGGCGUGGCCAAAGCGGAGGUGGGCGGGGCCGAAAGGAGCGCUGCCGCCACGGGGAGAGCGCAGCGCUACAUGCGGUGCGCCCCCCCCGGGCGCCAUGGCCGGAGCCGGAGCGGUGCGGGACGCGGAGCCCAACGCGUUGCGGGGCUGCGGGGGGGCGGUGAGCUGCGGGGCCCCCCCCGGAAACAGCACAGCUCGGUGGGAACCACGUGGCAGCGGAGCAGCUGUGCCCCCCCCGCCGCCGGACCCCCCCCAGGUUGGAGCAGGAGUUGGGCGCCCGCCUGCGCCGUUUGGGGGACGCCUUCCAGCAGGCACAUGAGCUGCAGCCCCCCCGCCCACACGGAGGCACUUUUUGGGGCCACGUCUUCCAGGUGGUGUCUCAGCUGCUGGGGGUCCUCUACAACCUACAUGCGGCCGCGCUGCCCCCCGGCAGCACCAGUGACCCCCCGAGGCCCCCCCACCCCCUAUUUAUUUAUUUAUUGUGCCAUUGAGAGGGGGUGGGGGGGGGGGGGGAGGUUGGGGGCUGAAUCUUAAGCACUGCCCCAUUGCAUCCUGUACAUGUGUAUGAUGGAAUGUACAUCUUGGGGGGGGCUCUGUAUAUCUGGGGGGGG